GGGCCCCUGGAAGCGCGGCUGGGUGCUCGCGGCGCUGGCACUGCUGCUCGGCCUGAUCCUGCUGCUGCACGCGCAGAUCACGGACCGCGGGGGCCUC
RNAcentral lists this transfer RNA (97 nucleotides) under Streptomyces jeddahensis. RNAcentral describes it as "tRNA-Ala". Lineage: Bacteria; Bacillati; Actinomycetota; Actinomycetes; Kitasatosporales; Streptomycetaceae. The record is from RNAcentral.